Molecule: ribosomal RNA, 460 nt
Filed under: uncultured bacterium
Lineage: Bacteria
Description: partial 16S ribosomal RNA
Rfam family: Bacterial small subunit ribosomal RNA
Source: RNAcentral
CCUACGGGUGGCAGCAGUGAGGAAUAUUGGUCAAUGGACGAGAGUCUGAACCAGCCAAGUAGCGUGAAGGAUGACUGCCCUAUGGGUUGUAAACUUCUUUUAUAUGGGAAUAAAAUGUUCCACGUGUGGGAUUUUGUAUGUACCAUAUGAAUAAGGAUCGGCUAACUCCGUGCCAGCAGCCGCGGUAAUACGGAGGAUCCGAGCGUUAUACGGAUUUAUUGGGUUUAAAGGGAGCGUAGGUGGAUUGUUAAGUCAGUUGUGAAAGUUUGCGGCUCAACCGUAAAAUUGCAGUUGAAACUGGCAGUCUUGAGUACAGUAGAGGUGGGCGGAAUUCAUGGUGUAGCGGUGAAAUGCUUAGAUAUCACGAAGAACUCCGAUUGCGAAGGCAGUUCACUGGACUGCAACUGACACUGAGGCUCGAAAGUGUGGGUAUCAAACAGGAUUAGAUACCCGUGUAGUC